Long non-coding RNA from Perca flavescens (yellow perch), 1125 nucleotides. RefSeq lists it as uncharacterized. Lineage: Eukaryota; Metazoa; Chordata; Actinopteri; Perciformes; Percidae. The transcript is spliced from 3 exons. The record is from RefSeq and is a predicted model, not a curated record.
ACACACACACACCGGCUGGCUCGACGCACACACCAGCGGAGAAGUAUAAACAAACAUCAGCUGCGUGGAGCGCCUUAUUUAGGUGUCACUUAAAUGCCUGCGCUUCUCUCUGAUGAUCCGAAAACGGACGUUAGAGGGAACUGAAACAUCGCCGCACGGGAGGCUAGUUAACAAACACUUGGCAUUGGCGUUAGCUAGUUAGCGCUACACCUGACAGCAGGGGAGGGGGACAAAAAAAUGUCUGAUCAGGUUCAGGCUGCAUGAAGGUGCGCUCCAUCGGAACAGCUGUGGAACCCCACGCAGCCCAUUGAAUGGACAGGAUGCAGUACAGCCAUAGUGUAUUUUCCAGUCGGCUGUCUCACACAUGCAUGAGAGAAAAGGUGUACAUCCAUCCAUUACAUAUGCACCUAUAAGACGGGUAAAGUCAUGGCGUGAUCCUUCUUUCCUCUGAACAGCUUCUUCUCAACCAGAGCAUCCACAACGAGCUGUCUGGCAUCAAAACGCUUCACUCCCUUAAAAGGAGACAAAAGACUCACACAAUUAUACCAGCCGGGAUGAAGAUACAUCAAACCUGCUUCCUCUAUCACUGAGCUUAGGCCCAACAGGGUUUUACAAGGCCCUGGAUGUUGUCGACUGCAACCUGACAUAUCCAGCAUACCAGCUGACAUAUCCAGAUGGAUCAUAUCUCCACAACACCUCACAUUGUAAUACAGUUUCCAGAUAAUAACAGAGGCGUUCACGCACCUGCAGCCACUGUCCACAGGAGGGCGUCAUGGUCCCGUCUCCUCCAAUCACAGUAAGGCGUGGCAGUGAGUGUCUCUGUGACAGCAGGAAGUCAGUGUGGUCAUGAGCGGGGGUCACCUUCACUGCACCUGCAGAACACACAGCCAGGGCCCGCAUCAACACCAGCAGCUCACACAAUGUGACAGCAGUGUGUCCACAGGGGACAACAUGAAGGCAACACAUUCUCUCUGCAAUAAGCAAGCUGAAAGGCUUUGGGUGUUCACCAGUUCCUAGCUCCAUGUCCACCAUGGAGUCAGCGAUGAUGGGCAGGAGUCUGUCGGUGAAGGGGUGUCUGCACUGCUUCCCAUGAACAGCCUGAAACAAAGGGGACAGAGUGGAAAG